This 1139-nucleotide long non-coding RNA is filed under the name Gallus gallus (chicken). Lineage: Eukaryota; Metazoa; Chordata; Aves; Galliformes; Phasianidae. The record is from RNAcentral.
AAAAUAACUACCUAUAACCAUUACUACAGGAAAAAAAGAAACUACAAAUGUAAAAAUGUAAACAUUUAAAUUGAAGUCUUUAAAAUUGCAGAAGGUACCGUCUACCAUUGCAAGACCAAGUGAACAGCACAAGACACAAGGUACCAUCUAAAAACUGCUAAAUCAAGUCUUUGUGCAGGCAGCCCUGCAGAAGUUUUUCAUGCUACAUGAAAUUCACAUUCAAGUUUGGACUAGCUUUUAAGCUGUGCUUCCUAACAGAAAGGUUGGCUAUUGUCUUCACUAGGCUUCAAUCCCACUACUUAAUUGCUUUUAAGCAGAAAUUAAUUAAUUCCAGCAGAGAAAAAGCAGGACAAAUUUCAGAGCAAGCUUGACAUGUUCUUUACAAAAGCAGCGUAUCACAUGCAGCUCAGAAGCAGCAAAUGAACAAGAUGCACAAAGCUACCAACAUCUUUGCUGCACAACAGCUGGCAGUUGGGGCAGAUCACUAGCAGUGCAGUCUGUCUCUGCAAGAACACCAUUUUUCUGCAGACCCCAUCGCAAGGCAGCAGUGCACUGGUUUGCCUGCACAACUGUGAGAGAUAAUGCUGAAUCUACGGAGCUACAAGACAUGCCGCCAGGCCUCUCCCAGUUCUCCUUGUCCAGUUCUGCUAUGUUCCCACAUGCUUUUGCAUUGUACGCUGGUUUAUCAGAGGGUGGAGGUGGAGCUCUUCUUUUCUUCCCUCUGCCAUCAUUAGGACUUGCAGUAUGCAUAUUUUUCUGAACAACCAUCUCAUGAGAUCCAUCAAAGAGUGAAGCCCAUAAGGAAGAUGCAGGUUCUUUUUGCUGGCAAAGCAGGAACUCACCAUCACUCUUUUCAAUUUUUCUUUGUAUGAUAUCAGCUAAGCCCUCAUGUUUCACUGGAGAAUCAAUGCCUGUAAUUUUAAGGGACAGCAAUUAACUCAGAUUAAAAUGCUACCCAUGACUUUACUCCUCUCAGUUUUAUUACUGUUCAGAAUACAAAACUGUAUUAACCAUGUCUCAUGAAGCCUGGACUAUUAAGCAUAUUAAUGGAAGAACUGGAAAAUAUUGCAUAUGCUUUCAUAAGAGAAAGCUGGGGGAUAGGAAAGAACUGUUUUCAUGACAGCUGGUGUUGAGAGAAC